Molecule: antisense RNA, 75 nt
Filed under: Streptomyces sp. AVP053U2
Lineage: Bacteria; Bacillati; Actinomycetota; Actinomycetes; Kitasatosporales; Streptomycetaceae
Description: ASpks TB sRNA
Rfam family: ASpks TB sRNA
Source: Rfam by way of RNAcentral
CUUCAGCGAGCCGAGCAGCAGCGGCCGCUGCGGGUCACGGUCCUGGCCGUAGGUGGCGUGCAGCGCCUGCGCCUC